GCUGGGCGCAAUGGUGUGUGCCUAUAGUCCAGGCUACUCGGAACCUCAGGUGGGAGGAUGGCUUGAGCCCAGGGGUUCUGGGCUGCAAUGUGCUACGGUGAUCGGAAUGUCCGCACUAAGUUCGUCAUCAAUAUGGUCACCUCCCAGGAACAGGGAAUUACCAAGUUGCCUAGGAGGGGUGAACCAUCCCAGGUCAGAAACGGAGAGGGUAAAAACUCCCAUGCUGAUCAGUAGUGAGAUCUCACCUAUAAAUAGCCACUGCACUCUAGCCUGGGUAACAUAGUGAGACUCUGUCUCU
RNAcentral lists this signal recognition particle RNA (298 nucleotides) under Aotus nancymaae (Ma's night monkey). RNAcentral's name for it is "Metazoan signal recognition particle RNA (ENSANAG00000005992.1)". It matches the Rfam family "Metazoan signal recognition particle RNA". From Rfam's summary of the family: The signal recognition particle (SRP) is a universally conserved ribonucleoprotein. The record is from RNAcentral. Lineage: Eukaryota; Metazoa; Chordata; Mammalia; Primates; Aotidae.